RNAcentral lists this RNase P RNA (525 nucleotides) under Candidatus Sericytochromatia bacterium. RNAcentral describes it as "RNase P RNA component class A". It matches the Rfam family "Bacterial RNase P class A". Rfam says of the family: Ribonuclease P (RNase P) is a ubiquitous endoribonuclease, found in archaea, bacteria and eukarya as well as chloroplasts and mitochondria. Its best characterised activity is the generation of mature 5'-ends of tRNAs by cleaving the 5'-leader elements of precursor-tRNAs. Cellular RNase Ps are ribonucleoproteins. Lineage: Bacteria; Bacillati; Candidatus Sericytochromatia. The record is from RNAcentral.
GAAGUGAGUUGAGCGAUUGCAUAUUUCUAAAUUUUAUUAUUUAGUUUAUGAGGAAAGUCCGAGCUCUAUAGGGUAGAAUGCUGGAUAAUGACCAGUAGGAGUGAUCCUGAGGAUAGUGCCACAGAAAUAUACCGCUUGCCACAAAACAGUAGUAGAUUUUAAAGUUAACAAACUACAUUACACAAUAGACUAGUUUUAUCAAAAUAUCAUAGAAUAUAGUAUUACAAUACAUAAACAUACAAUUAACAGACGAAAACAAAUAUAUUAUUUAUUAAAGUAGAUUAAUUAAAUUAUAUACAGUUUGGCAAGUAAGGGUGCAAAGGUAGUUUAAGAGACUACCAGCAAUUAGGUGACUAAUUGGCUAGGUAAACCCCGUUCAGAGCAAGACAAAUAAGAGAAGUUGAGGUUGCCCGCUGAUUCUCUUGGUACAGUCGCUAGAAAUAUUUGGUAACAAAUGUUCAAGAUAGAUAAUCGCUGCAUAUCCUAGGGUAUGAACAGAACUCGGCUUAUAGAUUUACUUUACAA